RNAcentral lists this transfer RNA (72 nucleotides) under Camelus bactrianus (Bactrian camel). It matches the Rfam family "tRNA". Rfam says of the family: Transfer RNA (tRNA) molecules are approximately 80 nucleotides in length. Their secondary structure includes four short double-helical elements and three loops (D, anti-codon, and T loops). Lineage: Eukaryota; Metazoa; Chordata; Mammalia; Artiodactyla; Camelidae. RNAcentral also lists the same sequence under 2 other names. The record is from Rfam by way of RNAcentral.
GGGGGAAUAGCUCAGUGCAAGACUGCAUGCUUAGCAUGCAUGAGGUCCUGGGUUCAAACCCCAGUACCUCCA